GCGAUGGCACCAUCGCCCACGGCGACGAUUUACCUCGGCUCAGCCCUUUUUAGCAAUUUUUGGUUGAAUUCGACAGGUUUUGUACCAAUCUCUGCGAGAAAAUAUGUCAAGGGAUCUCGGUUGACUGAUAAAAGUCAAAAAACCGAAACUCACCGGCGGCAGGUUUCUCCAGUGCGGCGGCACCGCCAGCUCAUGUUCGCAAUUGGGUAUUUUGCUUCAGUCAACCUGUAGAGAAGGAAACGGUG
This 245-nucleotide long non-coding RNA is filed under the name Carica papaya (papaya). RNAcentral's name for it is "long non-coding RNA (CPAP_LNC010363)". The record is from RNAcentral. Lineage: Eukaryota; Viridiplantae; Streptophyta; Magnoliopsida; Brassicales; Caricaceae.